Acinonyx jubatus (cheetah) is the source of this 368-nucleotide long non-coding RNA. RefSeq lists it as uncharacterized. NCBI's taxonomy places the organism in Eukaryota, Metazoa, Chordata, Mammalia, Carnivora, Felidae. The record is from RefSeq and is a predicted model, not a curated record. The transcript is spliced from 3 exons.
AUACCUGUGAUCACAGAAUUGAUUCUUACCUAAACUAACAAAUUUCCCCAAACUGUUUAUGGAUUACUAAGACAAUAUUUUCUUCUUUAUUUUCAGCUGUUAGAAAGCAAGCUUUAGGGUGAAGUAGAACCAACAUAAAUGAAGAAUAUAUAGUUGUCAAUUGAAUGGCUGUCUGAAUGAGGUUGAGUGGUAAAGAUAGAUGGAGGCCAUAGUGACCUGAGGCUGGCUGGUGAAGACUUGGUUGUUGGUGGUUAAGGGAUGUGACAUGUGAGUGAACUGGCCAUGGGUUGCAAAGAGGAACACUGACCUGCCAUAACCUACUGCAUCUUUCCUGGAGGUGAAGUUCAUUUUCUGUCAAAGAGAAAAAG